Molecule: unclassified non-coding RNA, 329 nt
Filed under: soil metagenome
Description: partial contains 5.8S ribosomal RNA, internal transcribed spacer 2, and large subunit ribosomal RNA
Rfam family: 5.8S ribosomal RNA (bases 1-120)
Source: RNAcentral
GAUGAAGAACGCAGUGAAAUGCGAUAAGUAAUGUGAAUUGCAGAAUUCAGUGAAUCAUCGAAUCUUUGAACGCACAUUGCGCCCCCUGGUAUUCCGGGGGGCAUGCCUGUCCGAGCGUCAUUACAACCCUCAAGCUCAGCUUGGUGUUGGGCCCCGCCGCCCCGGCGGGCCCUAAAGUCAGUGGCGGUGCCGUCCGGCUCCGAGCGUAGUAAUUCUUCUCGCUCUGGAGGUCCGGUCGUGUGCUCGCCAGCAACCCCCAAUUUUUUUCAGGUUGACCUCGGAUCAGGUAGGGAUACCCGCUGAACUUAACCAUAUCAAUAAGCGGAGGA